GUUUCUAGGUUGGGAAUUAAAUGCACUAAUGGUUCCCACUCAUUCCUAAUUGGCACCAAAUUACACACAGUGGGCUCAGCAGGGGCCGAGGCGGCAGCUGGCGUCAGGGUGGUAGGAAGUCAGCCUUAUCAGAGCUGCGUGGGGUUCUUAGUCUUACAGAAGCCCGCACUGGGAGCACUGUGCUGGGAGUCCUUAGUCCUUCUUCUGGGGCAGUGGGAGGAGUCCAGGUUUUGGGGUUAGGGACAGCCCAGCUGCAUCUCACCCUCAGCCCAAGGAUGUUGUAGCCCAACCAUCAGCAUUUCGUUCCUUGCGGAUGAGUCUUCUUCUGGCCUCUGGGAAUCUGUUUGAAGACACAAAUGCCCCUGGGAGGCUGCUGAUUUCCACUUGUCCAUCAGUCCAUCGACCUGUCCAUCCAUCACCCGCUGAAGGGAAGCAGAAAUGAAUACGAAGUGGAACCCACCUGUCCUCCAGAAACCCAGCAGAACAGCGCUGCGCUCACGGCAGAAGAGGAUGGAAAUGCUCUUUCAGCAAGAUGACAGCAGGAAAGAUUCCCCUGACUUUCGAUGGCGCCAGGUCACAUGGAUGAAAUCUUCCAUCCCUCCCUUUCUUCUCUCCAGCUGUCACCCAGGACUUCAGAGUUUCUCCUCCAAUCCCCAUCUUCCUGCCCCUAGCAUGUGGUUGAGUAACUCACAAACUACAGGAGAGCCACCAAGAAGAGGCUGGGAAGGGGUGGUGGUGAUCAGGAGUUAAGUUAGAGAACAGACAAUCUGCACCUUCAUCAGGAUCGACACCAGUGUGUGUGCACGUCUUCCUGUGUCUGUAUUUGGCUGACAGGUGACUGAUACCUUUUGUGAUAGGGAAAGCAGGAGGGGUCAGACCUGGACACUCUCUGCUAGGUUUAUUCUGAUGGGAACAGGAGGAGACAAUCCCCUUGCCUCCUUCAAACCUCAUACUUCUAUUGAUGCCACCUGAGGACACAUAGGCUUUUUGGUAGCUGCCCAAUCCCAUUGAUUCUAUUCAUACUUGGCGUAGAUU
Molecule: long non-coding RNA, 1035 nt
Organism: Bos taurus (domestic cattle)
Lineage: Eukaryota; Metazoa; Chordata; Mammalia; Artiodactyla; Bovidae
Source: Ensembl